This 468-nucleotide ribosomal RNA is filed under the name uncultured bacterium. RNAcentral describes it as "partial 16S ribosomal RNA". It matches the Rfam family "Bacterial small subunit ribosomal RNA", at positions 28 to 507 of the family's 1533-position model. The record is from RNAcentral.
GACGAACGCUGGCGGCGUGCUUAACACAUGCAAGUCGAACGGAAAGGCCCUGCUUUUGUGGGGUGCUCGAGUGGCGAACGGGUGAGUAACACGUGAGUAACCUGCCCUUGACUUUGGGAUAACUUCAGGAAACUGGGGCUAAUACCGGAUAGGAGCUCCUGCUGCAUGGUGGGGGUUGGAAAGUUUCGGCGGUUGGGGAUGGACUCGCGGCUUAGCAGCUUGUUGGUGGGGUAGUGGCUUACCAAGGCUUUGACGGGUAGCCGGCCUGAGAGGGUGACCGGCCACAUUGGGACUGGGGUACGGCCAAGACUCCUACGGGCGGCAGCAGUGGGGGAUAGUGCACGAUGGGCGGAAGCCUGAUGCAGCAACGCCGCGUGCGGGAUGACGGCCUUCGGGUUGUAAACCGCUUUCGCCUGUGACGAAGCGUGAGUGACGGUAAUGGGUAAAGAAGCAACGGCUAACUACGUG